UUUUAGGCAUGAUGAAGAACGCAGAUAAAUGCGAUAUUUUAUUUUUGAAUUAUAGAAUUAGUGAGUCAUGGAAUCUUUGAACGCACAUUGCGCCCUGUGGUAUUCCGCGGGCAUGCUUGUUGGAGCGUCAGUACAACAGUCAAGCUGUGCUUGGUAUGGGCCCUGCCGGUAGCGGCAGGCCUUAAAAUCACUGGGGGCGCCAUCUGCUUUGAGCGUAGUAAUAGUACACGCAACAGAGUCCCGGUUGAAGCAUGCAGCUUCCCCCAUUUAUGAUCCUUUCACCUCUUUUUCCUCAGGAACCCCGUCAACUUUUGCUUCCCCUUAAGCACCGGAAAAGGGGAGGAAAUUUCCUA
Molecule: ribosomal RNA, 353 nt
Filed under: uncultured fungus
Lineage: Eukaryota; Fungi
Description: eukaryotic LSU rRNA
Rfam family: 5.8S ribosomal RNA (bases 11-130)
Source: RNAcentral